AAAUGUUAUUUAGAACCUCCGUGGCCCACACGCUGACUUAGUUCAGGGUGGGCUUCCGUCUUCAUGAGGAAAAGCAGUGAAAUGGAGCCGCGGGGCGGCGAUUUGGGGCGGAGGGACGGACCCCAGGCCGGGCCCUGGGUCCCGGGCGCCUCGGGCAAGCGCCCGCCCCUCCUCCGACCUGAGUCACGGCCGAGGCCCCACGCGGCGGGGAUGCGGCGCUGAACGCGGGCUCGGGACGCCAGGCCGCAGGCGCGCUCUCCUCGUGGGGCCCGCAGGCCCGCUGUGCCCGGCCCGCCUCCCGGGCUCCGGACCUCUCGGCCGGCGGCGGCGCCGCGGAACCCGAGCUGGAGCCGCGCGCCCCGCCCGCCCUCCAUGGCGUUCACCCGGAAGAGGCAGCGCGAGCAGCAGCUGCAGCUCUACUCCAGGGAGAGAUUUUCCUUGCUUCUGCUUAACUUGGAGGAGUACUACUUUGAACAGCACACGGCUCAUCACAUUCAGCACAAGGGCAGCCAGAAGGAAAGGAAAAUCAGAGGCUCCUUAAAAAUAUGUUCAAAAUCAGUUAUUUUUGAACCGGAUGCAAUAUCCCAACCCAUCAUUAAGAUUCCUUUGAGGGAUUGUAUAAAAAUAGGAAGACAUGGAGAAAAUGAAGCCAGUAGACACUUUGCAAAGACAGUAUCUGGGGCGAUUUCACUCAUUUUCAGCCAGGUGUAUUUCAUUAAAGAACACAACAUUGUUGCACCAUAUAAAAUAGAAAGGGGCACGAUGGAGUAUGUCUUUGAGCUGGACGUUUCAGGGAAAGUGGAAGAUGUUGUGGAGACACUGCUUCAACUUCAUAGAGCAUCCUGUCUGGACAAACUGGGGGACCAAACUGCCAUGAUAACAGCUAUCUUGCAGUCCCGUUUGGCUAGGACGUCAUUCGACAAAAACAGGUUCCAAAGUGUUUCUGAAAAGCUGCACAUGGAAUGCAAAGCAGAAAUGGUGACACCGCUGGUGACGAACCCUGGCCACGCCUGCGUCACUGACAGCACCCUCUAUUUCCAGCCUCUCAACGGGUACCCGAAACCCGUGGUCCAGAUAAUGCUCCAGGACAUCCGCCGCAUUUACAAGAGGAGACACGGCCUCAUGCCUCUGGGCUUGGAAGUGUUUUGCACAGAAGAUGACCUGUGUUCCGACAUCUACCUGAAGUUCUAUGAACGUCAGGACCGAGACGACCUCUACUUUUACAUCGCUACGUACCUAGAGCACCACGUGCCGGAGCGCACGGCCGAGGGCUACACGUUGCAGUGGCAGCGCGGCCUCCUGUCCAACUACCAGUACCUGCUGCACCUCAACUCGCUGGCCGACCGCAGCUGCAGCGACCUCUCCCAGUACCCCGUGUUCCCCUGGGUCGUCGGCGACUACAGCAGCUCCGAGCUGGAUCUGUCAAAUCCAGAGACCUUCCGGGAUCUCAGUAAGCCAGUAGGGGCCCUCAACCAGGAGCGUCUGGAGAGGCUGCUGACCCGCUACCAGGAGAUGCCGGAGCCCAGGUUCAUGUACGGCAGCCACUACUCCUCCCCAGGCUACGUGCUCUUCUACCUGGUCCGAAUCGCGCCAGAGUACAUGCUGUGCCUGCAGAAUGGAAGGUUCGACAACGCAGACAGAAUGUUCAACAGUAUUGCAGAAACUUGGAAAAACUGUUUGGAUGGUGCAACCGAUUUUAAAGAGCUGAUCCCGGAAUUCUACGGUGAUGAUGUCAGCUUUUUAGUCAACAGUCUGAAGUUGGAUUUGGGGAAGAGACAAGGAGGGCAACUGGUUAACGACGUAGAGCUCCCGCCUUGGGCACGGAGUCCCGAGGAUUUUCUCCGGAAGAGCAGAGCCGCGCUGGAGAGUGAGUAUGUGUCCGAGCACCUGCAUGAGUGGAUCGACCUGGUGUUUGGCUACAAGCAGCAGGGCCGGGAUGCCGUCGGAGCCCAUAAUGUGUUUCAUCCGCUGACCUAUGAAGGAGGUGUGGACUUGAACAGCAUCGAGGAUCCUGACGAGAAGGUCGCCAUGCUCACCCAGAUCUUAGAGUUUGGACAGACACCCAGACAGCUCUUUGUGACACCCCAUCCUCGAAGAAUCACCCCAAAGUUUAAAAACGUGUCCCAGCCCUCCAGUUACAAUGCCUCCACGGCAGAUUCUCCAGUCUCUCUAGGUGAAGAGUCUUUUGAAGACCUGACAGAAGAGAGCAGAACCCUGGCCUGGAGUAACAUUGCCCGGCUAGAGCCCCAGGAGCAGCACAGAAUCCACAAAGAGGCAGUCACUGGAAUAGCCGUGUCCCGCAAUGGGUCGUCCAUCUUCACAACCUCACAAGAUUCCACCUUGAAGAUGUUUUCCAAAGAAUCCAGGAUGCUACAGAGAAGCAUAUCAUUCUCAAAUAUGGCUUUAUCAUCCUGUUUGCUUUUACCAGGAGACGCCACUGUCAUAAGCUCUUCCUGGGAUAAUAACGUCUAUUUUUAUUCCAUAGCAUUUGGAAGAUGCCAGGACACAUUAAUGGGACAUGACGAUGCUGUUAGUAAGAUCUGUUGGCAUGACAACAGGCUGUAUUCUGCAUCGUGGGACUCUACUGUGAAGGUGUGGUCCGGGGUCCCCGCGGAGAUGCCGUGUGCCAGGAAACAGCACUUUGAGCUGCUGGCUGAGCUGGAGCACGACGUCAGCGUGGAUACGAUCAGUUUGAACGCUGCCGGCACCCUGCUGGCCUCAGGCACCAAGGAAGGCACAGUGACCAUCUGGGACCUCACCACGGCCACCCUGUUACACCAGAUUCCAUGUCAUGAGGGGACUGUAGGCGACACUGCUUUCAGCCCAGACAGUCGCCACAUCCUGAGCACAGGAGCCAACAGUCAUCUGAACGUUAUCGACGUGCAGACAGGAAUGCUCAUCUCUUCUCUGACUGCAGACGAGCCCCAGAGGUGCUUUCUCUGGGAUGGAAACUCCGUCGUAUCUGGGAGUCAGUCUGGGGAGCUGCUCAUCUGGGACCUCCUUGGGGGAAGGGUCAGCAAGAGGAUCCAGGGCCACUCAGAAAACCAUCCUUAGUACUGUAUAAUCCUGUACUUCUGGAACUAUCUUCAGAGCCAAGUCCAGACACAUAAUGAGGAACAUCAUCACUGAAAAACCUGAGUUGGUUGGCUUUUCUGAAUUCCACACAAGAUAAGCCAUGAAUCAGUAGCACUGAUUUAUUUUGUAUUCAACCUCUGAACCACAGAAAGCAUGCGAGGUAGAUACUGAAAGGACUGUGCUGGCUGAGCCAGGACAGAACGUAAGAUGCUACCGGACAGACAGCCCCAGCCACCCCUGUUUUAUUCUCUCUCCUCAGCUUCCAGCCCUCACUCCUGAGAACUUCCAAAAUGUAAAUAAUUUAAAUACUUCAAAUGUCUAAAUAAUGCCAAUGUCAUCCACUAAAGAACCAAAGGUUUGAGAAGCUUGAGAAUUAAAGAAGUACAGAGACUCUAUGAAAUCACAUGAGCACAGAAUCAAGUCAAAGAAUUCUCUACUUACCGUUUAAUAAUGUGUUCAAAGAUAAAAGCAGGCAUGAUUGUAAUAGUAACUAUAUUUCCAGCUGUGGACAAUAUGUCUGCGAUUUGAGAGUCCUGUUGAAAACAACGAAAAUUCUGAGAGACUUUAUUAAAUAUAAAACUAAGUUAUUCUUGGUAAAGAAAUAUAUAUGUUCUGAGGUUUUGCUAAUGUCUCUAAAAUCCUGACUCCUGGUAUUUAAGUUUUUUCCAGUUUCUUUACCAAGUUUUAAUUCAUUAGAAUCACAACUUCAUCAGUGGUAACAAAAUUCAGUAAACUACGUUGAAUAUAUUAGCCAAAACAAAGCAUUCUUUUUCUAGAGAUUAAAUAAUUGCCCCCAUAUACAAUAUUACCACAUCCCCUCUGCUAACAUUAAUUCUUAAUGAAAACCUUUAGACCUCAAAAUAGUUCUAUUUAGGAAUUUGUAGAGGGCAUAAAAAAUGUAGUACUAAUUUGACCAUAAACUAUUACUCAUUUCCUACAACCCCUGGACUGAAAAAAGCAAUUGGACAAAAAAGCAACCAUUCAUUCAGAAUCUCACCAACAUCUUCACUGCCCAGGUCUUCACAGAAUUCUAGUUCAAGGGACUUCAGAGAUCUCACCCAUACAGAGGCCACAAUUCUAGAGGUAACAUGAGGGCACAGCCAGCGCCCCAAAGAAUGUCUCAUUUUGGUCAAUAACAGCACCACCCCAACAAGACAAAUGAAAAAGAGACUUCUAAAACUAAACAAUAUGAUGUAAGUUCUGCUCUGACCUUCAGUCCGAUGACGUUCUGUCCGUUGACCUCACAGAUGUUAUGUUCCGUGAGAAGACCGUUUCUAGCUGCAGAACUGUCUUUCACAAUGGAUGUGAUUUUUCCAUUUUUAAAAACAAAGCCAACAUGUCCAGUACUGUCCUUAUGCAUGGUAAUUGUCCGUUCAAAGGGCCUGUGAGCAUAACAGUUUCAAUUAAAAUUGUAAUUCCAAGGUAAACAUUUCAAUGGAUUUCCACUAUGUUGUACUGGAUACUUUGUUAUCAUAAAUUAUUUCAAAACUAUUUUACUUGGUAUGUACAUCUUGUGUAAAAGUGUAAAAAUUCUCUCCAUUAUGGCUGGACUAACUAAUCAAGAUUUCCUUCUUUUAAGUAUCAAAGAAUUAACACAAUGCUUCAUGCAGUUUAUCAAUGUGCUUUUUCCUUUAACAUUACGUUUGAACAAAAAUCAGUGUUAAAAAUGAAUUAACUUUUUAGUAUUUCCUGGAGCUUAAUUUUUCUUAGGAAAUACUUAGAACCUUUAUAAUAUUUCUCACAUCUUGAUUUUGAAAACUUUACAAUGGUAUUUUUGCUGCAGCAGCAGCAGCAAGACGGAAGCCCCCAGUCCCUUAGAAAGGGAGGAGCUUCAGAAAGAUGGCGUCUGCUCUGAGCACUGACAACCUGUUACUGCACACGUUUCAUGACAAAAUACGAAUUUUACAUUAUGAAGUUCACAGCAGUCAUGUCUUCCUGGUGAUCCAAGUUACUUUUUGAAACUUUGCUCACGUAAGAGCAAAAGUGCCAUUUGUCUGCAAAAUGUUUACUUAAUACCUACCAUGUAUUAUUCAAAGUGAAAACACAAAGGUAGAUAAAAGCCAGUUGAACCAAUAUGAACAAAAAUGCCAAAGCUAAAAAUGUGUUACAAGGUCUGCCCUUCAACCCCUGCGUGGCCGAGAAGGCGGUGGUGUCCGUAGUACAGGUACCGCAAGCUCCAUUAUAAACGAGCUAAAGAUGCUGUUCCCACCAAGGACUACAGCCUCAGCCACCCAGAAGGCCAGGCUGGUUUUUGGAACUGGUUGGCCCCCAUGUAUCCACCCUGAGCAGGAAACCGGGGGCAAAGUCCAGACACCUGUUGCUGUUACCUUUCUAACCUCUUCUAUUUUCCAGAGAAACAGAUUAAGACAGGAAAGGAACUUCUCAAAGCACAAAUUUCUGUAAGCUCUGAAUUAAGGUGUAUGCAAAACCAGAAUACUGUUUUUAAAAAGUCAAACUAUGUAAGAAAGUGAAAGCAACACAGAACUGCAAGAGUAUAAAUAUAAAACUAAUCAAUAACA
Bubalus bubalis (water buffalo) is the source of this 5594-nucleotide RNA transcript. It is a transcript of the gene named neutral sphingomyelinase activation associated factor, with no coding region annotated. The transcript has 32 exons. NCBI's taxonomy places the organism in Eukaryota, Metazoa, Chordata, Mammalia, Artiodactyla, Bovidae. The record is from RefSeq and is a predicted model, not a curated record.